CAUCACUUAUGAUCAUCGUUCCACUCGUCGAGUUUCUGUCAAUCUUACCCUCGCUACCAUUUUAAUGUCUCACGCAAACUCCAAGCUAGUUGUCCCUUCAACGCAUCUCCUUUCAAUUUCCUGUCCCUUGGCAAGCCACUCCCUCCCUAGCUAUCGUCUUGCGGUCUCUAUUGCCCAUAGUGGAGCUCCAAGCCUUAGGUUUGUCUCCAUGUGUUGUGGGUUAGUCAACGCCCUCUACUCUAGGUCAUGGAGCCAUCUACUUUGAGGAUUAUAGUUUGAAUCGGGAUAAGUGACUGGAGACCGCUCGGAAGCUGUCCUCUGCUCGACACCCAACAGUCCAACUAUCCACCUACCACUAACGACUUUCGAUCAUCUGUCCCGACCCAAAUUAUAACUUAAGUAGGAAUGUAAACUUUGAAAGGGAUCGUAUUCAAUUGCGAUCAGCUAUGAUCCGAUCACAAUUACAAUGA
Molecule: long non-coding RNA, 470 nt
Organism: Zingiber officinale
Lineage: Eukaryota; Viridiplantae; Streptophyta; Magnoliopsida; Zingiberales; Zingiberaceae
Exons: 2
Source: RefSeq, a predicted model, not a curated record